GAUGAACGCUGGCGGCGUGCCUAAUACAUGCAAGUCGAGCGAACGGACGAGAAGCUUGCUUCUCUGAUGUUAGCGGCGGACGGGUGAGUAACACGUGGAUAACCUACCUAUAAGACUGGGAUAACUUCGGGAAACCGGAGCUAAUACCGGAUAAUAUUUUGAACCGCAUGGUUCAAAAGUGAAAGACGGUCUUGCUGUCACUUAUAGAUGGAUCCGCGCUGCAUUAGCUAGUUGGUAAGGUAACGGCUUACCAAGGCAACGAUGCAUAGCCGACCUGAGAGAGUGAUCGGCCACACUGGAAGUGAGACGCGGUCCAGACUCCUACGGGAGGCAGCAGUAGGGAAUCUUCCGCAAUGGGCGAAAGCCUGACGGAGCAACGCCGCGUGAGUGAUGAAGGUCUUCGGAUCGUAAAACUCUGUUAUUAGGGAAGAACAUAUGUGUAAGUAACUGUGCACAUCUUGACGGUACCUAAUCAGAAAGCCACGGCUAACUACGUG
RNAcentral lists this ribosomal RNA (497 nucleotides) under uncultured bacterium. RNAcentral describes it as "partial 16S ribosomal RNA". It matches the Rfam family "Bacterial small subunit ribosomal RNA", at positions 28 to 507 of the family's 1533-position model. The record is from RNAcentral.